RNAcentral lists this ribosomal RNA (435 nucleotides) under uncultured bacterium. RNAcentral's name for it is "bacterial SSU rRNA". It matches the Rfam family "Bacterial small subunit ribosomal RNA", at positions 26 to 507 of the family's 1533-position model. The record is from RNAcentral.
AGAGCGAACGCUGGCGGCAGGCUUAACACAUGCAAGUCGAACGCCAUCUUCGGAUGGAGUGGCAGACGGGUGAGUAACGCGUGGGAACGUACCCUUUGGUUCGGAAUAUUCUCGGGAAACUGGGAGCAAUACCGGAUAAGCCCUACGGGGGAAAGAUUUAUCGCCAAAGGAGCGGCCCGCGUCAGAUUAGGUAGUUGGUGGGGUAAAGGCCUACCAAGCCUACGAUCUGUAGCUGGUCUGAGAGGAUGAUCAGCCACACUGGGACUGAGACACGGCCCAGACUCCUACGGGAGGCAGCAGUGGGGAAUCUUGGACAAUGGGCGCAAGCCUGAUCCAGCCAUGCCGCGUGGAUGAUGAAGGCCUUAGGGUUGUAAAAUCCUUUCAACGGGGACGAUAAUGACGGUACCCGUAGAAGAAGCCCCGGCUAACUUCGUG